CCUACGGGAGGCAGCAGUGAGGAAUAUUGGUCAAUGGACGCAAGUCUGAACCAGCCAUGCCGCGUGCAGGAUGACGGCUCUAUGAGUUGUAAACUGCUUUUGUACGAGGGUAAACCCCGAUACGUGUAUCGGGUUGAAAGGAUCGUACGAAUAAGGAUCGGCUACCUCCGUGCCAGCAGCCGCGGGAAUACGGAGGAUCCGAGCGUUAUCCGGAUUUAUUGGGGUGAACGGGUGCGUAGGCGGUUUGGUAAGGUAGAGGUGAACUGUCGGGGCUCAACCCCGAAACUGCCUCUAAGACUGUUGGCCUAGAGUAUAGUUGCGUUAGGCGGAAUGUCUUGUGUAGCGGUGAACUGCUU
RNAcentral lists this ribosomal RNA (356 nucleotides) under uncultured bacterium. Its description in RNAcentral is "partial 16S ribosomal RNA". It matches the Rfam family "Bacterial small subunit ribosomal RNA", at positions 338 to 691 of the family's 1533-position model. The record is from RNAcentral.